RNAcentral lists this small RNA (66 nucleotides) under Ureibacillus manganicus DSM 26584. RNAcentral's name for it is "Lysinibacillus manganicus DSM 26584 Bacillaceae-1 RNA". The stretch from base 10 to 66 matches the Rfam family "Bacillaceae-1 RNA", at positions 10 to 67 of the family's 67-position model. The record is from Rfam by way of RNAcentral. Lineage: Bacteria; Bacillati; Bacillota; Bacilli; Caryophanales; Caryophanaceae.
GAGCGCCACUUAUCGCUGAAAACGCAACGUCCUGUUGCAUCAGCGAUAUGACCUACAUCGUGUAGG